This 107-nucleotide small nucleolar RNA is filed under the name Gossypium barbadense (sea-island cotton). RNAcentral describes it as "Plant small nucleolar RNA R71". It matches the Rfam family "Plant small nucleolar RNA R71". From Rfam's summary of the family: R71 is a member of the C/D box family of snoRNAs containing the C (UGAUGA) and D (CUGA) box motifs. Multiple nearly identical copies of this snoRNA have been identified in Arabidopsis, and it is thought to function as a 2'-O-ribose methylation guide for 18S ribosomal RNA. The record is from Rfam by way of RNAcentral. Lineage: Eukaryota; Viridiplantae; Streptophyta; Magnoliopsida; Malvales; Malvaceae. RNAcentral also lists the same sequence under 1 other name.
AAACCAUGGUGAGGACAUCAUCUCAAUAAGUCCUUAUACCUCUCCCAUGCAUCAUAUAAGGUUUCUAAGUUGAUCUAAAAGAAGGAAGAGAUAUCCUUCCUUAACUU